UUCAAGGUGUUGGAGCAAAGAAGUUCAAUUCGUAAUAGGAUUUGAAAUUAGAGUUAUGAUCUGAUAUGGAAGUUGUAGCUAGUUCUGAAAGUAGAGUCUGCUAAGGAAACUAAGUUUGAAGUUGAUAAGGAAACUAUAUCUGCCGAGAGAUUUUCUGAAGUAGAGUUGGAAACGAAUUGUUCUAGGGUUUUAGAGAAUUUACCUAUAAAUAUCUUCACUUGUAAUCAGAUCGAGGCAUAUGACAUCUUAUAUUUUAUUUAAUUAUUAUUUGUUCUCUU
RNAcentral lists this long non-coding RNA (278 nucleotides) under Panax ginseng (ginseng). RNAcentral describes it as "long non-coding RNA (PGIN_LNC010244)". The record is from RNAcentral. Lineage: Eukaryota; Viridiplantae; Streptophyta; Magnoliopsida; Apiales; Araliaceae.